UACGGAGGGUGCGAGCGUUAUCCGGAAUCACUGGGUUUAAAGGGUACGUAGGCGGUUAAUUAAGUCAGCAGUGAAAGCCUGUCGCUCAACGACGGAUGUGCUGUUGAUACUGGUUAACUUGAAAUGGGUUAGGGUUGGCGGAAUGGGUCAUGUAGCGGUGAAAUGCUUAGAUAUGACUUGGAACACCGAAAGCGAAGGCAGCUGACCGAACCUUGUUUGACGCUGAGGUACGAAAGUGUGGGUAGCGAACAGG
Molecule: ribosomal RNA, 253 nt
Filed under: uncultured bacterium
Lineage: Bacteria
Description: partial 16S ribosomal RNA
Rfam family: Bacterial small subunit ribosomal RNA
Source: RNAcentral